Molecule: non-coding RNA, 154 nt
Organism: Agelaius phoeniceus (red-winged blackbird)
Lineage: Eukaryota; Metazoa; Chordata; Aves; Passeriformes; Icteridae
Source: RefSeq, a predicted model, not a curated record
AACUCUUAGCGGUGGAUCACUCAGCUCGUGCGUCGAUGAAGAACGCAGCUAGCUGUGAGAAUUUAAUGUGAAUUGCAGGACACAUUGAUCAUCGACACUUCGAAUGCACUUGCAGCCCUGGGUUUCUCCCGGGGCUAUGCCUGUCUGAGCGUCG